UGUGUGUGUGUGUGUGUGUGUGUGUAUAUAUAUAUAUAUAUAUACACACACACACACACACAUAUAUAUAUAUACACACACACACACACACACACACU
RNAcentral lists this microRNA precursor (98 nucleotides) under Pelobates cultripes (western spadefoot toad). Lineage: Eukaryota; Metazoa; Chordata; Amphibia; Anura; Pelobatidae. The record is from RNAcentral.